Molecule: long non-coding RNA, 8529 nt
Organism: Eleginops maclovinus (Patagonian blennie)
Lineage: Eukaryota; Metazoa; Chordata; Actinopteri; Perciformes; Eleginopidae
Exons: 11
Source: RefSeq, a predicted model, not a curated record
UAAGACGGAAGGACCCGGAUGUGGUUCUCUUUCCUGAAGGAACAGCCAUGAGCAGAGUGCAGCUCCUCUUCGACACAGCAAAACUGAGAAGACUGCAUCAUGUUUACUCUGCAGGAUGAAGGGGUGCAGAUGAACAGUCCUGGCUGAUUGAUGAAGAAGUCGUGCUGCAGUCAUGAGAAAAGCACCUGAUCAGAAGAUGUCGUGCUGCAGUCAUGGGAAAAAAAGCACCUGAUGAAUCCCUGUUUGCUGUGCCUAUCGGGAGAAGUCGUGCUGCAGUCAUGACAAAAGCACCUGAUCAGAAGUUGCUUCAGAAGUUGGGCUAUGUCACAGAAGAGGCAUCUAAAAAAUCCUCAGUUUGAUGUGCCUAUCAGGAGGUGAGCAGUUGGAUUAUCAGAAGAAGCAGACUCACUCCAGGUGUCCGCUCUGAAUGUGCUCUCACCUCCCAGCACUCUGAACUUCACAUCCUCCUUCAGUGCCGAGCUGCAGAUCCUGCAGAUGAAGUCGUUUCUCACCGUGGCGGACUCUGUGGCUCCGGGAGCAUGGACUCGGAUGUGGUGAAACCCUACAGUCCAGGAAAUCAAAUCUUAUUCUCUAUAAAUGCUACUUGUCUGAGAUUUAAUUUCAAGAUAACAACCUUUUUGAUGUUGUUAGCAUGCCAGCUAGUACCUGCAGAGCAAGGGCAUUCCUCAUCGCUGCAGAGGAACCGGGCCCCCUGGGUGUAUUUGGUGACCCUCGUUAUGGCGAUGACCAGGCCCUCCAUGAAGACCGGCCUCAUGGGCCCAUACCCCCGAGGAAAACUACAAAGGUCCAAUGAGUACUCGGGGAAUGGAGGAAGCUUGAACUCACGCGCCAGCUUCAAACAAGGUACCAUGGUAACAAUUUAAGGACCCGGAUGAACUGCGAUGGAAUGUACAAUUUUAAUAAAAAAUAAAUGAUUAUGUAAAAUGUAUUUAAUUUAUUAUGCUAUCAUAAAAAAUAAAUACUGUUAGGAGAAAAUUAUAAAUACAAUUUAAUGUAAAUUAAUUUAUCCUCAAAUUACUACACAAAAUAUAUUAUUAGUAAUAAAUAGUUUUAUGACGGCCCUAUUUUUGUUGACCACUCAGCAGCUGAAGGACCCGGAUGUACUGCGAUUAAAUGUCAGUUAAAUCAAAAUAUAUAAUAAUAUCAUACAAGUUUAAUACUUUAUAUUGAAAUAAACAAUAUAUAAUACUUUAAUGUAAAAUACCGUAAUCUCAAAUUACUACAAAACAUACAUUAUUAGUAAUGCAGAAACAAACGGUUUCUUAAGGCAAUCUUUUAGCGACAGGUAACUAGCUUCAAACAUGUUGCCAUGGUGACCAGGAUGUACAGCGAUUAAAUGUACGACAAAAUAAUAAAAUAAUAAUGUACAACAUAUUAAAUAAAUUAGAUUGAAAUAGGAAGAAAUACAUAAAAUCAUGUAAUGUAAAAUAGCUUCAUUUCGAGAUACUACACACAAUGCAUUAUUAGUAAAGAAUACAAACACACACUUUUCUUUCAUAUUUUUUUAAUUAAUCUGCAGGAAUAUAAACCUACUUAAUUGCCAGCAGGCGAAGCAAAGCAUUGUGGAUUCUAAUUUUGGCAAUCAUGAAUAAAUGCGUUAAGGCAAAGAAUAGAAAACAAACAAACAACCCAAUAUAAAACUAAAUAUUUAAAGACAAACAGAAAUUGAAGUUUUCUACAAAUCUGACCUAUGAACCAAAAUGCAUUAUUCAGCGGUCUCAAGUAAUCCCUAUUUCCAGCGUAGUUAAAAUGAAUAAGACACAGAGUGUAUUUAUACAGUAAUUACAUGGACCAACACAUUUCCAUGUCAAAUGGUGUGAUUUUAGGUCCAGUUAAUUGUUCAAGUGUCAAUUUAAGGCUUUUUAAAGGCUUGUUUUAGAAACCACCAUGAAUAACAGUAAUAGAGGAUGUCUGUCCUUAAUUCUUAAAAAUAUCAUCUGUUAUAUAUAUUUAUAUAAAUACAAAUUUAUUAAAAAAUCUGGCACAUUUUGUUCCAACCCACAUUUUUAAGUGCUGUUUAUUUCCAGCUGCUUUGGCAUCAGAGAACAAGUAAAGAGUGUAUAAACUUUUCCCUUUAGUCAAAAGGAGUUAUGGUGACGGUUAAGGCAAACGUUGGGAACGCCUCAGAGGAAGGAGUCGUCGGAGGCCGGGGCAUAGGAGAAGCCCACGAAGGCGUCGUCCGCCUCCAUCACGCUGGCGUUCACGAUGGAGUGAUCCUGAGACCAGCAGAUGGAGUUCGGCACCGACUCGUCCGUAAACUCAGGGUCAAAGUUUGAAAUGUCGCAGCACGAACUCUGUGGAAACACCCGGGAGAGAAGGGGUGAGUACAUUGAGCAAACUGCAUGUGUGAAUUAAUUAAAAAGGACUUCAUUUGACACCAAAACAGUUGCAAAUUGGUUUAAAAUUUGAUAAAAUAAUUAGGAGUAAAUUCAGUAUUCCCACAGCAAGGCAAGAUAGUAUUAAUACUUUUUCUUGCCACUCAAAAUGUAAUUAAAUACCAGUUUUACCGGGGGUUUUUUCACACAAAUUAUAGCUUUAGCUGGCCUGUUUUGAUUGGACAACCGCUUAGAGAUUUCCCGCCCCUUAACCUAUCACAUUUUUUAUGUUACAACCACUGUUGUUUUUUAUUCAACAAGGAGCCUUGCAAAAAUGUACUUCACCUGAGUAUAAUUCAAAUAGAUUGGAAAGGAUGGUUCUUAACUAGCCACUGUUAAUUAAAAAACAGCUGCGCAAUCUAGUAUGAUUGGAGUAAAAACAGACAGAAUAUUUACCACAUUGGGUAUAAAUGGUGGAGCGAUCUUCUUCUGCUCCAGGUCGUCCCAGUUGAUGGAGGAGAAGAAGUCGUGUGCUUUAAUUUCAUUCUGAAAACCAAGAAAAAAACAUCAGUUUUUAUUUAUAGAAAGCUGGGAUAAUUCACAUGUUGUCCAGCAGAGGGAGCCCCCCCACAUCACUGAGCUUUAAUGUGGUGUGUAUCCUGGACUCACAAAGUCGUCUCUGGAGCCCAGUCUGUGCAGGCCCUCCUUCUCCAGCAGGCCCUGCAGCAGAGACCAGGCGGAGCUGGAGGCACCGGGACGCAUCACCAGAGGUUUGUGCAGGAUGUUGUCGUACAUCUCGUGAGUGUCUCUGCUGUAGAACGGGGGCUGCACAGGAAGGAGUACAGAGUGACGGUAACAACUUGUUAUGAGUGUUUGGUGGUUGUUCUACAUCUCUUUUUGUUAAUCAGCGUCUGCUAUAGGUCAUUUUGUGUUUUGCCUUUCUUAUUCUGUUUGUUGUGUGUCUCUUUUUGGAUGUUUUAGCUUUCCUUUAUGGACAUGUUGUGUCUUUCUUUGGUUCUUUUGUGCCUCUUUGGAGACAUUUUGAGAAUCUUUGUGGUCAUUUUGCAUCUUUUUUUGGAUGUUUGGCACUUGGACGUAGACCUUGAUGUCCCUUUUAGACAUCUUGAGUGUUUUUUUGCGAUACUUUGUAGACGUUUGUGCCUCUUUUAGGAUAUUUUGUUUCUAUUCAUAGAAAUGUUGAUGCUUAUGGUGGUCCUUUUGUGCCUUAAUGGUUGAUAAGCGUCUGUUUUAGGACGUUUCAAGCCUCUUUUACAUGAUUUUGCAUCUUCUCAGAGACAUUUUCUGUCUCUCUUUGGUUGUUUUGUAAUUUGUUUCCUACAAAAAAGUACAAUGCAUGCGUGCUAUUAGAUCUCAAAAAGGGUCUCACCAGUCCGAAGAGCAUCUCAUAGAGCACAGAGCCCAGACACCACCAGUCCACCGUGUUAUCAUACGGCUGCUUCCUCAGCACCUCUGGAGCCAAAUACUGUCAGGAGGAGCACACACACAUUAAUCAUUAUUAUAAAACUCUGACGCGCUGCUACGGGCUUUUAAUACUCCACACACAUCACUAUUUUUAAUCUCUUAUAUCUGUACAGACCCCACUAGAGCCUAGAGAGAAUUCACUUGCAUUAACUUGUCUUAAAGAAGCCACAAUCCUGCAGAAAUCUGGAGGAUUUUCAGGAUGAUUCAGGUCUCAAUCUGUGUGAUAAAGAUGAUUAAAACAUCUUGUCCCCUGCAGCCGUACCUCAGGCGUCCCACAGAAGGUGGUGGUGGUGUCCGUCUGAGAGAUGCCUUCCUUGCACAACCCGAAGUCGGUGAGGAUGAUGUGUCCCUGCAGAGAGAGGACACAUGUCCCACACAAGCAGCUCAUUAUGAUCCUGCAGACUAAGGACGCUUUUGUUGAACAGGAAUGUGAGUCCCAUUCAGGCGCCUCACUUUCUCAAUGGGAAAUCAUUACAGAGACGUAAUCACACUCACUGCUGGUGCAGGAGCAAUCACACUCGUGCUAUCUGUUUUAUUAGUAUGUGGAAAGGGAGGAAUCUGCAUGCAUUGAUUAGACACUGCAGUUUCAGAUUAACUGACAUGGAGAAAGUAGGUGUUGCAGUAUUAUUGCUGAUUAAUUAAUCGCACUGUUUGUUAUUUAAAGUCCUUUUUACAUUGGAAUAUUGGUAUCUAAUAGAGGAAAGUAUCUGCUUAUAUAUCCUGUAGAAUUCUUUUAUACAUGUGCAUUAUCUGGGCUCUGCAGCUCUGAGAGUAGGUGCUUUUCCAGCCAGCCUAUUGGUCUAUAACAGGGAGGUUUCUGCUAUUAUCUCCUGCACAGUGUCCCAACUUAACAGCUUUUUAUGCAAAUAACUACAUGUGCAUGCAUUGAUCCAGUUCCAUUUCAACGCAAAGAAAGCAGGACUUGUGCCAAGCAUGUAUAAAUUGUAAAAACAGGAAUACUCACCUCUUGGUCGAGGAGGAUGUUUUCUGGCUUCAAGUCUCUGGACAAAGUGAAUUAAACACAGAGACAUUAGUCCAAAUGACCCAAUUGCAACCCAAUAUCAGCGAGAAAUGAUAAUAAUAUAUAUAUUUUGUGACAUGACUGUAAUGUCGGGAAUUAAAAUAUAGAUACAAAUCAGAAUCAGCCCUAAAAAUAUAUAAAUUCUGAUUAAUUGUUGAAUAUAGUUUGGUUUUCAGGUCAAUCAAACCCUCAAAUUCCCCCAAACCAAUUGAAAAACAGCUGAAUUAUCUUGCAUUUCAUACAUAAACCUUGUGUCUUCAAAGUGUGAUUUGAUAAGGUAUGUUUAGCAGACUUAAUACACAUUUUCUGGUUGAUUUAACAACCAGAACACUAAGCCUGUGUCCUCUUCCGUUAGACCCCCCCCUCACCUGUACACGAUGUUGAGGGAGUGCAGGUAUCCGAGAGCACUCGCCAUCUCUGAGAUGUAGAACUUUGCUCUGGGCUCCGGAAAGGUCCGCUCCUUUUGGAGGUGGAAGAACAGCUGAGAGGAACAAGGUGUGUUCGGUUAGAGGAGGGAUAGACACAGGAAUCACCUCAGAUUAAAUACAUACAGAUAUCUGGGGUAAAAGUGUAGAUUCAUUUCAUUCACAGUUAGUCACAGAAAGCGUCUCUGGGGGAGGAUUCACACAUGGGGGAGGAAUUUAAAUGACGCAUCACUUCCUGUUUCACUCUCAGCUCUCCUUGACCCGAUGACUCAGUCGUGUGUGAGAGCGUGACUCAUACAGACUCACUUCUCCUCCGUUCACAAAGUCCAGCACGAAGUAGAGUUUGUCCGUGGUCUGGAAGGAGUAGUGGAGCCCCACCAGGAAGGGAUGCUUCACGUUCUUCAGCAGCACGUUGCGCUCCGCCAUGAUGUGCUUUUGCUGAUCGGAGAGCAGAGUUCAUUAAAGGACAUAAUGAGGCUUUGAAUAUAGGUCUUGUGUCCUGGUAGAGUUACCUCUUUCCUGUUGAGGAUGACCUUUUUCUGUAACACCUUGACCGCGUAAUACUUCUCGUCGUGUUUUCGUUUGGCGAGGAAAACCUGCGUGAGGAGAAAGCUUGUUCACCAGAGUCUCACUUCCUGUGUGGGAACAUCCCGACACAAGCAGAACCAAAACUGAUGCCAGCACACAGAGUCUAGAGUUACCCAACAACAACAACAACAACAAACAUGUGUCAGACAACAAGAUCCUGCAAAGAGGAUUUACAGAAUGGACUUUCUGGAGGAUGAAAUGCACGGCUGACAUAUUAAAUAAAGUGUAUACUGUUCUUAGCAGGGUAAUUGCACAGUUUGUGAUAUUAGAUCUAGGUAAACAGAAAGUACUUUGGAGCAUCGUGAGGUUCACAUACCUUCCCAAAACUCCCUUUCCCUAUGACUUUCAGAAAGUCAAAGUCUGUGGGCUUGGCGCUGAAACACAAUCAGAUAACCCUUGGUUAGCUUUGUGUUGAACACUAGAUGUGAGGAGUGUGUUUGAGUAAAUAUAGAUAGCUGUCUUGCCGCAGUGGGGGGGACUUACUGUGGAUUUCCAGAGGGUCCCAGGUUAAUGUUUCUGGAGGUAGAGUUGUUCUGGUAAUGAGAAACACAGAAACACUGACUCACUGUUUACUCAUAAUGAGGCUUGCAAAGUUCUAAGAUUUCCUCCUCGUCAUUGUGUUUGUCUGAAGGCUGAGUCUCCCUUAGAGCUUUCUGAGUAAAGUAGUAAUGAAAUGAAUAAGAGGGUGGUUAAUAACAAGGUUCUACUAGUAGAGGAAGUCAAAAGGUUUUCAUCUGAGGGGAGCGAGUUAUCCAUCUGUAUUUAUUUUGAGAGGUGGGAAUGAAUGAUCUGAAGUGGUUGAUUAGUGGCUCACUCUGUCGUCUUCGUCCUCAGAGGCGUCAGAAAAGUGCUGCCUCUUGUCCAUCAGCAGGAAGGCCCUCACAUCUGGCCUGGAAACAGAAUCAAUGACACACAGAUCAGCAUUACUGAGCAGAGAACCAGGCAUUACCUGAGAUAAAGCCAGUGAUAUUUUAUUAUAAAGUCUGAUGUAGUGAUCUCUUACUGGGUGCAGAGCUGAGGGUGAGAAACGAUCCUCUUGAUGAACUCGUGCAGCCCGGCUCGUCUCUGCUUUAUAAACUCUGUUCAACACAUGCAAAUAUUAUUUAACAAAUAGAACAAAUCACCAUGUUGCACAUCAGGUACUUGGAUUAUUUCCUGAGGCACGUUAGAUCUGCAAUUUGUGAUUACUCUGAUUAAUGAUUUAUCUGCAGAUUAUUUCCUAGAUAAAUAUAUAAAUUGGUCUAUAAAAUGUCAAAAAGGUACAUCCUAAUUACUAAAAGUUGAAGGUUUUGUCCUAAAAUGUCCAACUACAUGAACUUUAAUAUGAUAUAAAACAGAGAAAAGCAGGAAAUCCUCAGAAUUGAGGGACUGGAAACAGAUUUUUUGAGACAUUUCUGCAGGAAAAAUGCAUUAAAUGACCAGUUGAUUAUCAGAAUAGGUGAGAGAAUAUAUAAAAAUCCAACGGCUUUCUGCUGUUUUAAUACCUGUGUAAUGGUAUAGUUCACGCCUUAUUGUACAGUGAAUCAGCGCAGUGUGGAGACUCACCAGGUUCAAAAUUGUCCCCAAAUAUCCUCUUGGCGGGAAUUUUCAAGUUCAUGGCAGGAAACUGUUUCCUUAACUGCAUCAGAGACAGGAAGUGAUGUCAGGGCCGUGAUCACGAGGCUUUCAUUAUUAAACAUCACAAAAAUCAGAAAAUCAGAAAAUCAAAGGGAAUCAAACACUCGUGAGCAGAGUUACAGCUGUGUGUGUGUGUGUGUGUGUGUGUGUGUGUGUGUGUGUGUGUGUGUGUCUGUGUGUCUGUGUGUCUGUGUGUGUGUUAAAGAGACUCACUGUGUUGUAGAGUUUAUCAAACUCUGCGUAGCGUCUGAACACGAACCACUCCUGCUGCCCCACGUUCACUAUCACCUUAUAAACCUGGGGGUUAAACACAAAGCACAAUCAACACAACUAGAAAAAGACUUCUUCUGGUUUGAAAUGCUCAAUGUGUCCUAUUUUUAAAAAUAAUGUAGUUUUGUGCAGAAACGUGCAAAACUGUCCAAGAAAAGUGCAAAUAUUUCCUUACUGUUUAUCUCCUAGCUGUGUAUUUAAUGGAUUUAACGUAAUUUUACCGUGAAGCGCUUCUUCUUGUCCCGCUGCUCAUCGUGGCAGGGAAUGCUGACGUUGGGGAGGCCGGGCUGCUCCUCCAUGAUGGUCCUGCAGGAUCAAAGCGUCCCUGGAGUAGAGAUCCUCCUCCUCAGACUGAGACUCAGGAGCAGAACCCCCCCGUCCUCAUCGUGCUGCAGAACAGAGAACAGAAACAGAGGACCUGCUACGGCUCUACUUUCUCCCACUGUGUGUGCUGAUCCUGAACGCAUCCUGCAGGAUGUGUGUGUCAUUCUGCUCACGUUGGAUUCAGGGACCCUGUGUUUACUUCACAUCUACAGCUGUGCGAGGAGCUGCAGAUCACUUCUCAAUUAAACCCAGAUCAUAAUGAAACUGUACAUAUAGUACAUAUCUUUUCAGGAAGACCAAUUAUUUGUAUGUAUUGAUAUUUUUAAAUGUUAUUUUCAAGGUGUGAUUUUAAUAAGUGUUUGGUCUCUAAAUGUAUUUUACUGUUGCAUUAUUUCUGUUAAUAUCUCACUAUUUAGAGAAAUGUUUAUCUCAUUUAUUUUUUAUUUAUUGGUUUAAUAAAAACGUG